UGGGGAAUAUUGCACAAUGGGGGAAACCCUGAUGCAGCAACGCCGCGUGAGUGAUGAAGGCCUUCGGGUUGUAAAGCUCUGUCUUCAGGGACGAUAAUGACGGUACCUGAGGAGGAAGCCACGGCUAACUACGUGCCAGCAGCCGCGGUAAUACGUAGGUGGCAAGCGUUGUCCGGAUUUACUGGGCGUAAAGGGAGCGUAGGCGGAUACUUAAGUGGGAUGUGAAAUACCCGGGCUCAACUUGGGUGCUGCAUUCCAAACUGGGUGACUAAAGUGCAGGAGAGGAAAGUGGAAUUCCUAGUGUAGCGGUGAAAUGCGUAGAGAUUAGGAAGUACACCAGUGGCGAAGGCGACUUUCUGGACUGUAACUGACGCUGAGGCUCGAAAGCGUGGGGAGCAAACA
Molecule: ribosomal RNA, 402 nt
Filed under: uncultured bacterium
Lineage: Bacteria
Description: bacterial SSU rRNA
Rfam family: Bacterial small subunit ribosomal RNA
Source: RNAcentral